AUUGAACGCUGGCGGCAGGCUUAACACAUGCAAGUCGAGCGGAGAUGAGGUGCUUGCACCUUAUCUUAGCGGCGGACGGGUGAGUAAUGCUUAGGAAUCUGCCUAUUAGUGGGGGACAACAUUCCGAAAGGAAUGCUAAUACCGCAUACGUCCUACGGGAGAAAGCAGGGGAUCUUUGGACCUUGCGCUAAUAGAUGAGCCCAAUUCGGAUUAGCUAGUUGGUGGGUAAAGGCCAACCAAGGCGACGAUCUGUAGCGGGUCUGAGAGGAUGAUCCGCCACACUGGGACUGAGACACGGCCCAGACUCCUACGGGAGGCAGCAGUGGGGAAUAUUGGACAAUGGGGGGAACCCUGAUCCAGCCAUGCCGCGUGUGUGAAGAAGGCCUUAUGGUUGUAAAGCACUUUAAGCGAGGAGGAGGCUACUGAGACUAAUACUCUUGGAUAGUGGACGUUACUCGCAGAAUAAGCACCGGCUAACUCUGUGCCAGCAGCCGCAGUAA
RNAcentral lists this ribosomal RNA (500 nucleotides) under uncultured bacterium. Its description in RNAcentral is "partial 16S ribosomal RNA". It matches the Rfam family "Bacterial small subunit ribosomal RNA", at positions 30 to 523 of the family's 1533-position model. The record is from RNAcentral.